GAUGAACGCUGGCGGCGUGCCUAAUACAUGCAAGUCGAGCGAACAGACGAGGAGCUUGCUCCUCUGACGUUAGCGGCGGACGGGUGAGUAACACGUGGAUAACCUACCUAUAAGACUGGGAUAACUUCGGGAAACCGGAGCUAAUACCGGAUAAUAUAUUGAACCGCAUGGUUCAAUAGUGAAAGCCGGUUUUGCUGUCACUUAUAGAUGGAUCCGCGCCGCAUUAGCUAGUUGGUAAGGUAACGGCUUACCAAGGCAACGAUGCGUAGCCGACCUGAGAGGGUGAUCGGCCACACUGGAACUGAGACACGGUCCAGACUCCUACGGGAGGCAGCAGUAGGGAAUCUUGCGCAAUGGGCGAAAGCCUGACGGAGCAACGCCGCGUGAGUGAUGAAGGUCUUCGGAUCGUAAAACUCUGUUAUUAGGGAAGAACAAAUGUGUAAGUAACUAUGCACGUCUUGACGGUACCUAAUCAGAAAGCCACGGCUAACUACGUG
RNAcentral lists this ribosomal RNA (497 nucleotides) under uncultured bacterium. RNAcentral's name for it is "partial 16S ribosomal RNA". It matches the Rfam family "Bacterial small subunit ribosomal RNA", at positions 28 to 507 of the family's 1533-position model. The record is from RNAcentral.